The sequence is a transfer RNA, 72 nucleotides long. It matches the Rfam family "tRNA". From Rfam's summary of the family: Transfer RNA (tRNA) molecules are approximately 80 nucleotides in length. Their secondary structure includes four short double-helical elements and three loops (D, anti-codon, and T loops). The record is from Rfam.
GGGCGUGUGGUCUAGCGGUAGGAUUCUCGCUUCGGGUGUGAGAGGUCCUGGGUUCGAUUCCCAGCUCGCCCC